AGCACCCACAGACCCACUGUUGGGGUUAUUAGCCCUUCUGAUAAAUGCAUGCUGCAGGGCUGCGCUGAUUGUAUUCACAUUGAACUUUCUAGAAGUUUCCCUCAAUUCUCAAGUGACCUGGUAUCCCUGCCUUUUGUACCCUUGUCCACUACCCAUCAUGCACAGGGACAAUCCCUGGGGUUUACUCUGAAAACUGACCAACUGCACAGAAGCAUUUCAUUAUUUCUAUUUUUUGUUUUGCAGCUCCGCAGUUUGGAAUGUCAGCAGCUGUCUGGUUGCUAGGAUCCAAGCUACCUUAGCAACCAGGAAGUCAUUGAAAUGAGAAUCUGGUGGUGCCCCAGACUCCCCUGCUGCCCUGGACCGCUUCACUCUAGCCAGCUGGCCAUUCAGAUUUUGCACAAAGCUACAGUCCUCUUAUAGUCCAUUGAUAUUGCCCUGCAGUGGCUACAAGGACACAACCAGUGGGCAACAUCUCCACAGAUCAGGACCUCAGGGCCAUUACCACUAUACUGAACCCUGAACCCCAGGGGAGGCGCUGAAACCCUCCAGCGGAUUGGGCACCAUGGAAAGAACCUCCGAGGCUGCAGAAUCCCACAGGCACCCAGGUCUGGAUUGUUAUGACGUUCCUGACUUGGCAGAUGAUGAUGUCUCCCAGCUUUAUGAAGCUUUGGAUGAACUUUCAUUGGUAGAUGGAGCUCAAGUUAUUGAUUCAGAAACUGCUUUGCCCCAUGUCUCCAGUACAGUAAAUGCCUCCUGUAUGGCUACAGCCUUGGACGAUAAUGCUAACUGUUAGUAACCAACUGGGCCUUUCCUAAAAUAUAGACAGAAAAGGG
This is a long non-coding RNA of Xenopus tropicalis (tropical clawed frog), 833 nucleotides long. RefSeq lists it as uncharacterized. The transcript has 2 exons. The record is from RefSeq and is a predicted model, not a curated record. Lineage: Eukaryota; Metazoa; Chordata; Amphibia; Anura; Pipidae.